Molecule: long non-coding RNA, 13179 nt
Filed under: Daucus carota (carrot)
Lineage: Eukaryota; Viridiplantae; Streptophyta; Magnoliopsida; Apiales; Apiaceae
Description: long non-coding RNA (DCAR_LNC001441)
Source: RNAcentral
CGUGCAUCCCCUGCUCAGGCUAACAUGGUCGCGCCUUUCACCGGCCUCAAGUCCAUCGCAUCAUUCCCCGUCACCCGAAAGCUUGAGAAUGACAUUACCUCUAUUACCAGCAACGGAGGAAGAGUUCAAUGCAUGAAGGUAUAUAUCUAUACUACUUAAUACUCAGAUAUAUUAUGUGCUAAUGAGGAACCAGUAUAACAUGGCAGAACAUUUCUUAGUUAGUUAUUGCUCAUUUGCUCUCAAAGUAGCACAAUUCUAAGUCAGAUAAAGCAGUCCUAGGUAACUUUAGAGUGAGUAACUUCAGAAUUUUCCUUGAAUAUGUCAAUAAUAUACAAAAAUUAUGUCAACACCUCGAUUAAAAGAUUGUUUUGCUUGUAUUUUCCUCCUGAGCUGAUCUGAGAAAUUUUGUUCUCAAGUCAAACAAUUAGAGACUUUAGCUCAAGAGAAAUGUCACCCCCUGGCAUUGUAGCCUGCGGGAUGUCCUCUAUAUUUUACCAUAGUAACCAUGUCGCCCCUCAAGUGAAGUAGAAUUUAAUUCAAUAAUGAAAUUGAACUACCCAGUAGAGGAAAUUUCUAGUUUUUUUGUAUAAUUUCCACCUUAGCUUGCUCUUAGUAACCCCCCUCAGUCUCAUUAAAUAGUCGGAAAUGUAUAUUCUUAUGAAGACAUGAUCACGUUCUUCAAAUUUUGCAAUCCAACACUGUUUCUAGACAAAUAUACAAUCUGUCGGUUUGUAAUUGAGUAAAUAUGACAUUCACAAAAUAUAUCAAGGAGAACACACCUUGGUUCUGAAAGUGAAUGAUAAAUUAGUUAGGUAACAUAUGUGAAUGGUGCAAGUGCAGGUAUGGCCACCAAUUAACAUGAAGAAGUUCGAGACACUCUCAUACCUUCCUCCUCUCACCACCGAACAAUUGGCAAAGGAGGUCGACUACCUUCUCCGUUCCGGAUGGGUUCCUUGUCUGGAAUUCGAGUUGGAGGUAAGCACUUUCUUCCUACACAUUUUUCAUGUUCUCUGUUACAUGUUUCUUGACAUUGCUGAUGACAAUUGUGUGUUAAACCAAUAUGCAGCACGGUUUCGUGUACCGUGAGCACAACAAAUCUCCCGGAUACUAUGACGGACGAUACUGGGUUAUGUGGAAGCUUCCCAUGUUCGGGUGCACCGACUCAUCGCAGGUGUUGAAGGAGCUUGAUGAGUGCGUCAAGGAGUACCCCCAGGCGUACGUCCGUAUCAUCGGAUUCGACAACGUUCGCCAAGUCCAGUGCAUCAGUUUCAUUGCUCACCAGCCAGAAUGCUGAUCAAUCUGUCUGUUGAUUUCAUAUAUUUAUCAAUCUUGUUCGGCUCAUAUAUAAACUUCUUGCAAUCUCAUUUCAUUUCUUUCCGUUUUAAAUUUCUUACUUGUAUCUCCAACACAAGGAAAUUGGAACUAUAGAGGAUUAUAUGUAGCGAUUGUUGGUGAUUAUAUAUAUCUACUUGUUUGUUUUCCCUGCACCUUCUAAAUACUUGCAUCAUAUGCUUUCAUGUCGUGAUGUACUUUUUUAUAUAUCUCCGAUUCUCCAUGCAGUAAUUAACCACUACGGUCUUUUUACACCAACAAAUUAUAUGAUAACAUAUAGAAACAGUUCAUUGCUUCCGUAAUAUCUGCCUUGGUACAUGUUCUCUUGUAUCACUACAAAACCUUUCACGUCCAACAAUGUGAAAGCAAAUUCUCUGUAAUAGAAAUGGACAUCUGCUAGCGACAUUUCAGAUAAUAAUAAAGUGUACUUAUGCACCAUCUGGUUGGAAGGAAUGAACGGGAAAAACAUGAACAAAAUCAAAGGUAAACGAGAAGUAUACAAGAGUGAAGAGUGAUGAAGAACUAGAAAGUGCAGACUUUAUUAUGAGUUUCACAAUAUAAUGAGUAAAAUAUAGGAAUGAUCAUUUAUCCCUAUAUUGGUAAGAUUGAGAUAUUAGUUUUUUUUUGUGUGCCAAACUAGUACAAAUUUCAUUUCAUUCUCCCUAAACGUAAUUCUUCCAACAAAAUGGGGCAUUACAUAAAGGUAUAAAGAUGAGGAGAUUAAAGAUUGACAGCUGCGAUAAGGGAAGGUAUGGAAAACAUGUGUAACUAUAUAAAUGUCGAACACCAAUAAGAUCCAAAUAACUCAGAUAACAUCCAAACUCAGUAACAAAUUGGUUAACAGAUAAAAUUCAGAAGCGAAUGCAAAAUAGUUUAUAAAAUUAGAUUCUAAGAUUCAAAAUUUCUAGUAUUCAGAUUAUAUGCAGAUGAAAGAGGAAGGGAGAUUUAUUGAAUAAUUUAGGCUUGACAAAACACAAUAAAAUGAUACACAUAGACUAGUAUACUCUAAUACUUAAUGAGCAGCAUAUAUUCUUAUUCUUAACUACCGUCUAUUCUAUUAUAUCAAAGAAACAUAAAUUAUUGCAAAGCUGUAAAUUCACAUUAAGAAGCUUAAACAAAUUACACAACUAGAAAUCAACCACUCAAAUUGGAUAUAAUUGGAUAAAUAUCUAAAGAGAUCAUAACUAAGAACCCUAAUUUCAAAGUUAUAAAUGUAUGUAUAUAAAUGAUUCAAAAAUCAGAACUCUGUAACACAAAAAAGCUAGCUGAACUGAGAUGAAGUAGAAAGCAGCAACAAAACAUUUAUGAAUUAAAUAUCUAAAGCUGAUCUAAUUACAAACAUCAACUCACAGUUAUCAAGAGGGGUGUAUUGGAUUGGGAUUUUAAAUCAUUUUUUUGCAUUCAUGAAAUCCGAGGGUAUUCGAUUGAGAUUAUUUGAAAUGCAUUAAAAUCUUGGGGUAUUCAAUUGGGAUUUUGAAUUAUGCUACAAAAUCUGGUGGUAUUCAAUUGGGAUUUUAAAUUAUGCUUUAAAAUCCGGUGGUAUUCAAUUCGGAUUGUUUAAAAUCCAUUAAAAUCUGAUGGUAUUCAAAUGUUGUCGGAUUUUUUUUCAUUUCAUAAAAUGGUGGAUUUUGUGGCAUUGUUCGAUGUAUUUUAAGUUUUAUGAAAUCCCACCAAAAUCAAUGGGAUUUUGAAGCAUUGUGCUUAAAUCCUAUCAACUCUGCGACAUUUCAUCAAGAAUCCGCACAAAAUCAAAAUCACAUGCAAUCCAUUAAAAUCCAUAGACUAAAAACAAUCCAUUAAAAUCUCAAUCGAAUACACCCCCGCAAUUUAUUAAUCAGAUGAGAGGAAGGAAGGGAGAGGGUCAGAGGGAGAGGGAGAGGGAGAGAGAGAGAGAGAGAGGAGUUACAGUGCUACGGCGACGUUCAGCGGCGAUGGAGAAGCCAAAAGCGACCAAGCAUAGUAUUAUUACAAGAAGAUGAACGAGAGAUGAGCCUUUCCCUGCCCCCAUUAUUGUUUCUAAGGGCAUCUUUGAUCACAAUUUCAAGCUUCAUAUUUUUUUCACUUUUAAUUUUAUAGAUAGAUUAAUCAAUCUCCAAUCAUCCAUUUAUCUUCCUAUGUAAAGUCAUUUACUAGAUAAAUUAUAUUAUUUUAUAAAAAAAAAUUAAAUAACGAAAUAUAUGAUCUUUCUCGGAUGAAGAUAACUUGCAAAUUUAAUGGUAUAGUUUAGAAAUUGGGGUUGAGAAGUACCAGUAGUUAUGCUAUAUUUACCUGAUGAUCUCGUAUCGUAACUUUUUUUACACGUGGGAUUUUUUUGCUUACAGCUCAUACUCUAUAACACACUUCCGCCAUUUCACAUGUGACUUCAUCUUUUGACCAGGGUUCUGUAAAUAGAAUUUUGAGCAAGAUCCCCUUAAUACAUAACUGAAUAAACAACACUCGUAGAGAUGAAUUCUGCUGGCGGAACUAGGGAAGAAACCCUAGCUUAGUCAAAGUUUUUUUUUUCUUCCAGAUAUUUGUUUUUUUUCAGAUAUUUUUUUAUUUGAGCUCUUAAAAAUAACAGUGAACCAAUAAAAAGUAUUUAUUGUGCAAAUUUUAAUUCUAGAUUAUUUUGAUUCAUGUCAUAUUGUCAUUGACUAACAGGCCAAAGUCAUUUUGUUAAUGGGCUCUAUUUUCUUGACCAAAAUCAUACUGUUUCCCCUACUAUUAUCCUGAGCCCAUGUUUUCAAAUUUCAAUUACGCCCAACCACCAGUCCAGAGUAGUUGUUGUUGGGCCACAAGGUAACCAUCCAAUGUCUAAACUAAUCAUAGUCCAAAUAAAAUUUUUUCAUAAAAACUGCGUGUACGUGAAUCCAGGGCAGAGGACUGAACAUGACUCCACUUGAGUUGAGCAAGAAAACCGCAAUCAUAUAUCUUUGAUUUUUAAAAUUGAAAACCGCAACCGUCAAUCGGGGUCGGUUUCGGUUUCGGUUUAAGAAACUUCGAUUCGGUUAAUAGUCGGCUCGGUUUCGAUUACAAAAUCGACAAAUAUAAGAAUGAAAAAUAGUACACAAACGAGACAAAUUAAUGCACGUAAUCUAGACAUAAUAAUUAAUAUAAUAUUAAAAUUUAACAAAAGUAACCGUAUUUUAUUUAAAACACUCUUGCCAGUAAUAUAAAACUAGUCUUAGUCAGAAUUUUCAUACAGAAUACGAAUCAGAACUUCCGGCUGAUUGGCUUUUUUAACACAUGCUUCAUGAAGAUUGAGAAAAUGUGACAGGGAAAAUAGGAAAUACAGAUUGGCAGUGGCCAGUCAGCAUGAGAUAUUCACUGAACAUCAAAUAUUAACAUAGACGGAUGUUUCUGUAAGUGUUAGAAUAGAUUUAUUAUAUUUAUUACAUAUUACAUAUAUUAUUUAUUAUUAUUUUAAUAACCGGUUCCGUUUGGUUUUUAUUGGUUCGGUUGGGAGGUAUAACCGGAACCAAACCGUUUAAAUCAGAUCAAUUUUUAAUUUUUCGGUUUCUAAUUGGUUUUUUUGAGUUUUUCCAAAUUUCGAUUCGUUUUGAUUUUAAAUCGGUUUUUUGCUAAGUCCUAAAUUAAGGUAUGGGUUCAAUUAUAGACAAGGUUAAGCUUACUUUUUAAAAAGUCUAACAUCACAAGUAAAUGGUUCACAAGUAAAUGGUCUUAAAACUAUAAAGAAACCAGGAUUGAAGCUCAAAAAUUAUCACCACUACACCCUUUUUUCGUGGUGCAACAAAUUUGGCCUAAAUCAAACGCAAAUCAAACGCAUUUAUACAAGACAAAUGACAGUCUUAAUAUAGGAUUACCCCAUUUUGGUUCAACCAUGAACACUGUUUGAACUAUGCGAUAGUUUCUUUACUAAAAUAUACUUCAGACUCUGGAACUGGAAGGACUAUGGGCCACUUAAAUGCAGCAUAUAUCUUGCAAUUUGAGCUCGAUAAUGGCAAAUUCCAAAUGCAAUCUAUCCACACAUUACACUCAAGUGCGAAAGAAUGAUCCAUGUAUUUUAAGGGUUUUGGUUCCUGGCAUGUGUACAUCAGGGAGUACUUAUAUAACAUACUGAUUUUGGAUCGUUGGAUGAUAUAUGCAUCUAACGGACAUAAUUAUAAAAAAAAUUCGUCAUGCUCAAUUUUUUUUUAUUUGUUUUUUUGCAUAUGAUAUGUAACUUGAAUAAUAAGAGGAAGGGGGAAAGUGAUGCAACUGCAAUUGAAGAAGUCAGUAGUCACUUAUUUAAAUUUCAAAGUACAAAGCCCAAAUAAGCAAUUUCCAAAGAGCUAAGCAAUGAAGGGCCAAGAAAUGGCUAGCUACUGCUAAAGAAAGCAAGUCCUCAUUCCUUGAUCAGAAGAGAUAAGGCAACCGCUCUCAUGCCACGUGUCAACUCAAUAAGAGUGUUUAAUGAUAAGGCAACCAAUCCAAAUUGCUCACACUGUGUGGCUACCAUGUUGCCUUGUCAACUUCACUGUAAUUCAAUGGUCAGAAAAAUUCUGAACUUUAGGAGGUGAAUUGGGAACCAUUGGAUCAGCAGGUUAAACGAUAAUGAGAUGAAAUGCCUAUAUAUUGGAUAGGUGAAGGAACAGAAGCAAGCCUCUCAAACACAAGAGAAGAAAGUAAAAGAACAAGAAGAGAGUAUUAGUACUCAUGGCUUCUUCAAUGAUAUCAUCAGUAGCACCGGUUACCCGUGCAUCCCCUGCUCAGGCUAACAUGGUCGCGCCUUUCACCGGCCUCAAGUCCAUCGCAUCAUUCCCCGUCACCCGAAAGCUUGAGAAUGACAUUACCUCUAUUACCAGCAACGGAGGAAGAGUUCAAUGCAUGAAGGUAUAUAUCUAUACUACUUAAUACUCAGAUAUAUUAUGUGCUAAUGAGGAACCAGUAUAACAUGGCAGAACAUUUCUUAGUUAGUUAUUGCUCAUUUGCUCUCAAAGUAGCACAAUUCUAAGUCAGAUAAAGCAGUCCUAGGUAACUUUAGAGUGAGUAACUUCAGAAUUUUCCUUGAAUAUGUCAAUAAUAUACAAAAAUUAUGUCAACACCUCGAUUAAAAGAUUGUUUUGCUUGUAUUUUCCUCCUGAGCUGAUCUGAGAAAUUUUGUUCUCAAGUCAAACAAUUAGAGACUUUAGCUCAAGAGAAAUGUCACCCCCUGGCAUUGUAGCCUGCGGGAUGUCCUCUAUAUUUUACCAUAGUAACCAUGUCGCCCCUCAAGUGAAGUAGAAUUUAAUUCAAUAAUGAAAUUGAACUACCCAGUAGAGGAAAUUUCUAGUUUUUUUGUAUAAUUUCCACCUUAGCUUGCUCUUAGUAACCCCCCUCAGUCUCAUUAAAUAGUCGGAAAUGUAUAUUCUUAUGAAGACAUGAUCACGUUCUUCAAAUUUUGCAAUCCAACACUGUUUCUAGACAAAUAUACAAUCUGUCGGUUUGUAAUUGAGUAAAUAUGACAUUCACAAAAUAUAUCAAGGAGAACACACCUUGGUUCUGAAAGUGAAUGAUAAAUUAGUUAGGUAACAUAUGUGAAUGGUGCAAGUGCAGGUAUGGCCACCAAUUAACAUGAAGAAGUUCGAGACACUCUCAUACCUUCCUCCUCUCACCACCGAACAAUUGGCAAAGGAGGUCGACUACCUUCUCCGUUCCGGAUGGGUUCCUCGUCUGGAAUUCGAGUUGGAGGUAAGCACUUUCUUCCUACAUAUUUUUCAUGUUCUCUGUUACAUGUUUCUUGACAUUGCUGAUGACAAUUGUGUGUUAAACCAAUAUGCAGCACGGUUUCGUGUACCGUGAGCACAACAAAUCUCCCGGAUACUAUGACGGACGAUACUGGGUUAUGUGGAAGCUUCCCAUGUUCGGGUGCACCGACUCAUCGCAGGUGUUGAAGGAGCUUGAUGAGUGCGUCAAGGAGUACCCCCAGGCGUACGUCCGUAUCAUCGGAUUCGACAACGUUCGCCAAGUCCAGUGCAUCAGUUUCAUUGCUCACCAGCCAGAAUGCUGAUCAAUCUGUCUGUUGAUUUCAUAUAUUUAUCAAUCUUGUUCGGCUCAUAUAUAAACUUCUUGCAAUCUCAUUUCAUUUCUUUCCGUUUUAAAUUUCUUACUUGUAUCUCCAACACAAGGAAAUUGGAACUAUAGAGGAUUAUAUGUAGCGAUUGUUGGUGAUUAUAUAUAUCUACUUGUUUGUUUUCCCUGCACCUUCUAAAUACUUGCAUCAUAUGCUUUCAUGUCGUGAUGUACUUUUUUAUAUAUCUCCGAUUCUCCAUGCAGUAAUUAACCACUACGGUCUUUUUACACCAACAAAUUAUAUGAUAACAUAUAGAAACAGUUCAUUGCUUCCGUAAUAUCUGCCUUGGUACAUGUUCUCUUGUAUCACUACAAAACCUUUCACGUCCAACAAUGUGAAAGCAAAUUCUCUGUAAUAGAAAUGGACAUCUGCUAGCGACAUUUCAGAUAAUAAUAAAGUGUACUUAUGCACCAUCUGGUUGGAAGGAAUGAACGGGAAAAACAUGAACAAAAUCAAAGGUAAACGAGAAGUAUACAAGAGUGAAGAGUGAUGAAGAACUAGAAAGUGCAGACUUUAUUAUGAGUUUCACAAUAUAAUGAGUAAAAUAUAGGAAUGAUCAUUUAUCCCUAUAUUGGUAAGAUUGAGAUAUUAGUUUUUUUUUGUGUGCCAAACUAGUACAAAUUUCAUUUCAUUCUCCCUAAACGUAAUUCUUCCAACAAAAUGGGGCAUUACAUAAAGGUAUAAAGAUGAGGAGAUUAAAGAUUGACAGCUGCGAUAAGGGAAGGUAUGGAAAACAUGUGUAACUAUAUAAAUGUCGAACACCAAUAAGAUCCAAAUAACUCAGAUAACAUCCAAACUCAGUAACAAAUUGGUUAACAGAUAAAAUUCAGAAGCGAAUGCAAAAUAGUUUAUAAAAUUAGAUUCUAAGAUUCAAAAUUUCUAGUAUUCAGAUUAUAUGCAGAUGAAAGAGGAAGGGAGAUUUAUUGAAUAAUUUAGGCUUGACAAAACACAAUAAAAUGAUACACAUAGACUAGUAUACUCUAAUACUUAAUGAGCAGCAUAUAUUCUUAUUCUUAACUACCGUCUAUUCUAUUAUAUCAAAGAAACAUAAAUUAUUGCAAAGCUGUAAAUUCACAUUAAGAAGCUUAAACAAAUUACACAACUAGAAAUCAACCACUCAAAUUGGAUAUAAUUGGAUAAAUAUCUAAAGAGAUCAUAACUAAGAACCCUAAUUUCAAAGUUAUAAAUGUAUGUAUAUAAAUGAUUCAAAAAUCAGAACUCUGUAACACAAAAAAGCUAGCUGAACUGAGAUGAAGUAGAAAGCAGCAACAAAACAUUUAUGAAUUAAAUAUCUAAAGCUGAUCUAAUUACAAACAUCAACUCACAGUUAUCAAGAGGGGUGUAUUGGAUUGGGAUUUUAAAUCAUUUUUUUGCAUUCAUGAAAUCCGAGGGUAUUCGAUUGAGAUUAUUUGAAAUGCAUUAAAAUCUUGGGGUAUUCAAUUGGGAUUUUGAAUUAUGCUACAAAAUCUGGUGGUAUUCAAUUGGGAUUUUAAAUUAUGCUUUAAAAUCCGGUGGUAUUCAAUUCGGAUUGUUUAAAAUCCAUUAAAAUCUGAUGGUAUUCAAAUGUUGUCGGAUUUUUUUUCAUUUCAUAAAAUGGUGGAUUUUGUGGCAUUGUUCGAUGUAUUUUAAGUUUUAUGAAAUCCCACCAAAAUCAAUGGGAUUUUGAAGCAUUGUGCUUAAAUCCUAUCAACUCUGCGACAUUUCAUCAAGAAUCCGCACAAAAUCAAAAACACAUGCAAUCCAUUAAAAUCCAUAGACUAAAAACAAUCCAUUAAAAUCUCAAUCGAAUACACCCCCGCAAUUUAUUAAUCAGAUGAGAGGAAGGAAGGGAGAGGGUCAGAGGGAGAGGGAGAGGGAGAGAGAGAGAGAGAGAGGAGUUACAGUGCUACGGCGACGUUCAGCGGCGAUGGAGAAGCCAAAAGCGACCAAGCAUAGUAUUAUUACAAGAAGAUGAACGAGAGAUGAGCCUUUCCCUGCCCCCAUUAUUGUUUCUAAGGGCAUCUUUGAUCACAAUUUCAAGCUUCAUAUUUUUUUCACUUUUAAUUUUAUAGAUAGAUUAAUCAAUCUCCAAUCAUCCAUUUAUCUUCCUAUGUAAAGUCAUUUACUAGAUAAAUUAUAUUAUUUUAUAAAAAAAAAUUAAAUAACGAAAUAUAUGAUCUUUCUCGGAUGAAGAUAACUUGCAAAUUUAAUGGUAUAGUUUAGAAAUUGGGGUUGAGAAGUACCAGUAGUUAUGCUAUAUUUACCUGAUGAUCUCGUAUCGUAACUUUUUUUACACGUGGGAUUUUUUUGCUUACAGCUCAUACUCUAUAACACACUUCCGCCAUUUCACAUGUGACUUCAUCUUUUGACCAGGGUUCUGUAAAUAGAAUUUUGAGCAAGAUCCCCUUAAUACAUAACUGAAUAAACAACACUCGUAGAGAUGAAUUCUGCUGGCGGAACUAGGGAAGAAACCCUAGCUUAGUCAAAGUUUUUUUUUUCUUCCAGAUAUUUGUUUUUUUUCAGAUAUUUUUUUAUUUGAGCUCUUAAAAAUAACAGUGAACCAAUAAAAAGUAUUUAUUGUGCAAAUUUUAAUUCUAGAUUAUUUUGAUUCAUGUCAUAUUGUCAUUGACUAACAGGCCAAAGUCAUUUUGUUAAUGGGCUCUAUUUUCUUGACCAAAAUCAUACUGUUUCCCCUACUAUUAUCCUGAGCCCAUGUUUUCAAAUUUCAAUUACGCCCAACCACCAGUCCAGAGUAGUUGUUGUUGGGCCACAAGGUAACCAUCCAAUGUCUAAACUAAUCAUAGUCCAAAUAAAAUUUUUUCAUAAAAACUGCGUGUACGUGAAUCCAGGGCAGAGGACUGAACAUGACUCCACUUGAGUUGAGCAAGAAAACCGCAAUCAUAUAUCUUUGAUUUUUAAAAUUGAAAACCGCAACCGUCAAUCGGGGUCGGUUUCGGUUUCGGUUUAAGAAACUUCGAUUCGGUUAAUAGUCGGCUCGGUUUCGAUUACAAAAUCGACAAAUAUAAGAAUGAAAAAUAGUACACAAACGAGACAAAUUAAUGCACGUAAUCUAGACAUAAUAAUUAAUAUAAUAUUAAAAUUUAACAAAAGUAACCGUAUUUUAUUUAAAACACUCUUGCCAGUAAUAUAAAACUAGUCUUAGUCAGAAUUUUCAUACAGAAUACGAAUCAGAACUUCCGGCUGAUUGGCUUUUUUAACACAUGCUUCAUGAAGAUUGAGAAAAUGUGACAGGGAAAAUAGGAAAUACAGAUUGGCAGUGGCCAGUCAGCAUGAGAUAUUCACUGAACAUCAAAUAUUAACAUAGACGGAUGUUUCUGUAAGUGUUAGAAUAGAUUUAUUAUAUUUAUUACAUAUUACAUAUAUUAUUUAUUAUUAUUUUAAUAACCGGUUCCGUUUGGUUUUUAUUGGUUCGGUUGGGAGGUAUAACCGGAACCAAACCGUUUAAAUCAGAUCAAUUUUUAAUUUUUCGGUUUCUAAUUGGUUUUUUUGAGUUUUUCCAAAUUUCGAUUCGUUUUGAUUUUAAAUCGGUUUUUUGCUAAGUCCUAAAUUAAGGUAUGGGUUCAAUUAUAGACAAGGUUAAGCUUACUUUUUAAAAAGUCUAACAUCACAAGUAAAUGGUUCACAAGUAAAUGGUCUUAAAACUAUAAAGAAACCAGGAUUGAAGCUCAAAAAUUAUCACCACUACACCCUUUUUUCGUGGUGCAACAAAUUUGGCCUAAAUCAAACGCAAAUCAAACGCAUUUAUACAAGACAAAUGACAGUCUUAAUAUAGGAUUACCCCAUUUUGGUUCAACCAUGAACACUGUUUGAACUAUGCGAUAGUUUCUUUACUAAAAUAUACUUCAGACUCUGGAACUGGAAGGACUAUGGGCCACUUAAAUGCAGCAUAUAUCUUGCAAUUUGAGCUCGAUAAUGGCAAAUUCCAAAUGCAAUCUAUCCACACAUUACACUCAAGUGCGAAAGAAUGAUCCAUGUAUUUUAAGGGUUUUGGUUCCUGGCAUGUGUACAUCAGGGAGUACUUAUAUAACAUACUGAUUUUGGAUCGUUGGAUGAUAUAUGCAUCUAACGGACAUAAUUAUAAAAAAAAUUCGUCAUGCUCAAUUUUUUUUUAUUUGUUUUUUUGCAUAUGAUAUGUAACUUGAAUAAUAAGAGGAAGGGGGAAAGUGAUGCAACUGCAAUUGAAGAAGUCAGUAGUCACUUAUUUAAAUUUCAAAGUACAAAGCCCAAAUAAGCAAUUUCCAAAGAGCUAAGCAAUGAAGGGCCAAGAAAUGGCUAGCUACUGCUAAAGAAAGCAAGUCCUCAUUCCUUGAUCAGAAGAGAUAAGGCAACCGCUCUCAUGCCACGUGUCAACUCAAUAAGAGUGUUUAAUGAUAAGGCAACCAAUCCAAAUUGCUCACACUGUGUGGCUACCAUGUUGCCUUGUCAACUUCACUGUAAUUCAAUGGUCAGAAAAAUUCUGAACUUUAGGAGGUGAAUUGGGAACCAUUGGAUCAGCAGGUUAAACGAUAAUGAGAUGAAAUGCCUAUAUAUUGGAUAGGUGAAGGAACAGAAGCAAGCCUCUCAAACACAAGAGAAGAAAGUAAAAGAACAAGAAGAGAGUAUUAGUACUCAUGGCUUCUUCAAUGAUAUCAUCAGUAGCACCGGUUACCCGUGCAUCCCCUGCUCAGGCUAACAUGGUCGCGCCUUUCACCGGCCUCAAGUCCAUCGCAUCAUUCCCCGUCACCCGAAAGCUUGAGAAUGACAUUACCUCUAUUACCAGCAACGGAGGAAGAGUUCAAUGCAUGAAGGUAUAUAUCUAUACUACUUAAUACUCAGAUAUAUUAUGUGCUAAUGAGGAACCAGUAUAACAUGGCAGAACAUUUCUUAGUGAGUUAUUGCUUUCAAAGUAGCACAAUUUUAAGUCAGAUAAAGUAGUCCUAGGUAACUUUAGAGUGAGCAUAACUUUGGAAUUUUCCUUGAAUAUGUAAAUAAUUUACAAAUAUUAUGUCAACACUUCAAAUAAAAGAUGGUUUUGCUUGUAUUUUCCUCCCGAUCUGAUCUGAGAAAUUUUGUUGUCAAGUCAAACAAUUAGAUACUUUAGCUCAAGAGAAAUGUCACUCCCUGGCAAUCCUGGGGGAUAACUUCUAUAUUUUACCAUAGUAACAGGAGUUUGAGAGUCCAAGAUUCGCAGAAAACAUGUGUGUGUCAAUGUGUGAAAGCCUAAUCAUGUCGCCCCUCAAGUGAAGUAGAUUUUAAUUCAAAAUAGAGAUGUGUGAGAACCUAAUCAUGUCCAAGUUUUUUGUAUGAUUUUCACCUUAGCUUGCUCUCAGUAACCCCUCUCUUAGUCUCAUUAAACAGUGACUCUGAAAUGUAUAUUCUUUUAAAGACAUGAUCACGUUCUUCAAAUUUUGCAAUCCAACACUUUUUGUCAAAAAAUAUACUACAAUCUGUCGGUUUCUAAUCGAGUAAAUAUGACAUUCACAAAGUAUAUCACUGAGAACACACCAUGGUGUGAGAGUGAAUAAGAAAUUAGUUAGCUAACAUAUGUGAAUGGUGCAAGCGCAGGUAUGGCCACCAAUUAACAUGAAGAAGUUCGAGACACUCUCGUACCUUCCUCCUCUCACCACCGAACAAUUGGCAAAGGAGGUCGACUACCUUCUCCGUUCCGGAUGGGUUCCUUGUCUGGAAUUCGAGUUGGAGGUAACCACUUUCUUCCUACACAUUUUUCAUGUUCUCUGUUACAUGUUUCUUGACAUUGCUGAUGACAAUUGUGUGUUAAACCAAAAUGUAGCACGGUUUCGUGUACCGUGAGCACAACAAAUCCCCCGGAUACUAUG